Molecule: long non-coding RNA, 496 nt
Organism: Saccostrea cuccullata (small rock oyster)
Lineage: Eukaryota; Metazoa; Mollusca; Bivalvia; Ostreida; Ostreidae
Exons: 3
Source: RefSeq, a predicted model, not a curated record
UUAAGAUCCACUCCCCCAAAACCUUCGAGAUAUCAGAUAAGGAGUGCCUCUCGCUUAGUUGGUCAGUUUCAGUGUCAGGAUAACCUUGUUAUGCAAUUUUCUUGCUCGGCAGAGUAUAGCUGCAGCUUAUCUAGGUCAAAAUUUGAAUUCAACUGAUGGACAAGAAGUGCGCGUCUCCAUGCUGUUCAUAUUUAAUGUGUUUUCAAGCUACAUACACAAGGAUUAAGUCUGGAAUAUCAACUUCGGCUCAUUCAUCGUAUGGUUCAAUCAACCAGUGGUGCAGGGAAUUGAUUGUAUAUAGUCCGCCUUGAUUGCAUCAGAUUCUUUGCCCGUGAAAAUUAUACAAAGGAAUGCAACAUUUUGCUUUUGCUCUAGAGGGUGGAUUCUCCUGUUCAUUUCUUUCAUUCGUGGGACUUAACUACAGAUAUAUAUGCGUGAUCAAAAUCAAUGGAUCCGCCACUUUGUGGAACUUAGUAGUGUAAGACAGACGCGUACU